This 384-nucleotide ribosomal RNA is filed under the name uncultured bacterium. RNAcentral describes it as "bacterial SSU rRNA". It matches the Rfam family "Bacterial small subunit ribosomal RNA", at positions 28 to 414 of the family's 1533-position model. The record is from RNAcentral.
GACGAACGCUGGCGGCGUGCUUAACACAUGCAAGUCGAGCGGUAAGGCCCUUUCGGGGGUACACGAGCGGCGAACGGGUGAGUAACACGUGGGUGACCUGCCCUUAGCUCUGGGAUAAGCCUGGGAAACUGGGUCUAAUACCGGAUAUGACUCCAUGACGCAUGUUGUGGGGUGAAAGCCUUGUGCGGCUAGGGAUGGGCCCGCGGCCUAUCAGCUUGUUGGUGGGGUGAUGCCCUACCAAGGCGACGACGGGUAGCCGGCCUGAGAGGGCGACCGGCCACACUGGGGACUGAGACACGGCCCAGACUCCUACGGGAGGCAGCAGUGGGGAAUCUUGCGCAAUGGGCGAAAGCCUGACGCAGCGACGCCGCGUGGGGAUGACGG